RNAcentral lists this ribosomal RNA (290 nucleotides) under uncultured bacterium. RNAcentral describes it as "partial 16S ribosomal RNA". It matches the Rfam family "Bacterial small subunit ribosomal RNA", at positions 32 to 295 of the family's 1533-position model. The record is from RNAcentral.
AAUCAACGCUGGCGGCGUGCCUCAGACAUGCAAGUCGAACGCGAAAUUUCCCUUCGGGGAGAAAGUAGAGUGGCGCACGGGUGAGUAACACGUAGGUAAUUUGCCUUUGGGUGGGGAAUAACUCAGGGAAACUUGAGCUAAUACCGCAUAAUGCAGCGGCUCGACAUCGAGACAGUUGUUAAAGCGGGGGAUUGGAGCAAUCCGACCUCGCGCCUAAAGAGAAGCCUGCGGCAGAUUAGCUAGUUGGUAAGGUAAUGGCUUACCAAGGCGACGAUCUGUAACCGGCCUGA